GUGCAGCAGGCGCGAAAACUUCGCAAUGGGGGCAACCCCGACGAGGGGAUUCCAAGUGCCAGCACUUUGUGUUGGCUGUUCUCUUGUCUAAAAAACAAGAGGAGUAAGGGGCGGGUAAGACGGGUGCCAGCCGCCGCGGUAAUACCCGCGCCCCAAGUGGUGGUCGAUAUUAUUGAGCCUAAAACGUCCGUAGCCGGUCUUUUAAAUCCUUGGGUAAAUCGGGCAGCUUAACUGUCCGACUUCCGAGGAGACUGAAAGACUUGGGACCGGGAGAGGUCAGAGGUACUUCUGGGGUAGGGGUAAAAUCCUGUAAUCCUGGAAGGACCACCGGUGGCGAAGGCGUCUGACUAGAACGGAUCCGACGGUGAGGGACGAAGCCCUGGGGCGCAAACGGGAUUAGAUACCCGGGUAGUCC
RNAcentral lists this ribosomal RNA (415 nucleotides) under uncultured archaeon. Its description in RNAcentral is "bacterial SSU rRNA". It matches the Rfam family "Archaeal small subunit ribosomal RNA", at positions 330 to 747 of the family's 1478-position model. The record is from RNAcentral.